GAUGAACGCUGGCGGCGUGCCUAAUACAUGCAAGUAGAACGCUGAAGGAAGGAGCUUGCUCUUUCCGGAUGAGUUGCGAACGGGUGAGUAACGCGUAGGUAACCUGCCUGGUAGCGGGGGAUAACUAUUGGAAACGAUAGCUAAUACCGCAUAACAGUAGAUGUUGCAUGACAUCUAUUUGAAAGGGGCAAUUGCUCCACUACCAGAUGGACCUGCGUUGUAUUAGCUAGUUGGUGAGGUAACGGCUCACCAAGGCGACGAUACAUAGCCGACCUGAGAGGGUGAUCGGCCACACUGGGACUGAGACACGGCCCAGACUCCUACGGGAGGCAGCAGUAGGGAAUCUUCGGCAAUGGACGGAAGUCUGACCGAGCAACGCCGCGUGAGUGAAGAAGGUUUUCGGAUCGUAAAGCUCUGUUGUAAGAGAAGAACGAGUGUGAGAGUGGAAAGUUCACACUGUGACGG
RNAcentral lists this ribosomal RNA (465 nucleotides) under Streptococcus australis. Its description in RNAcentral is "bacterial SSU rRNA". It matches the Rfam family "Bacterial small subunit ribosomal RNA", at positions 28 to 475 of the family's 1533-position model. The record is from RNAcentral. Lineage: Bacteria; Bacillati; Bacillota; Bacilli; Lactobacillales; Streptococcaceae.